UUUAGUAGAAGCCAAAAAAUAGGCAUUUUAUUGUUAAUAAAAAAAUUGAAUUAUAAUUCCUAUUAAAA
This 68-nucleotide transfer RNA is filed under the name Pedionis sagittata. RNAcentral's name for it is "tRNA-Asn". The record is from RNAcentral. Lineage: Eukaryota; Metazoa; Arthropoda; Insecta; Hemiptera; Cicadellidae.